AGAGUUUGAUCCUGGCUCAGAGCGAACGCUGGCGGCAGGCCUAAAACAUGCAAGUCGAACGGAUCCUUCGGGAUUAGUGGCGGACGGGUGAGUAACACGUGGGAACGUGCCUUUUGGUUCGGAACAACUCAGGGAAACUUGAGCUAAUACCGAAUGUGCCCUUCGGGGGAAAGAUUUAUCGCCAUUAGAGCGGCCCGCGUCUGAUUAGCUAGUUGGUGAGGUAAAGGCUCACCAAGGCGACGAUCAGUAGCUGGUCUGAGAGGAUGAUCAGCCACACUGGGACUGAGACACGGCCCAGACUCCUACGGGAGGCAGCAGUUAGGAAUCUUGCGCAAUGGGCGAAAGCCUGACGCAGCCAUGCCGCGUGAAUGAUGAAGGUCUUAGGAUUG
Molecule: ribosomal RNA, 389 nt
Filed under: uncultured bacterium
Lineage: Bacteria
Description: bacterial SSU rRNA
Rfam family: Bacterial small subunit ribosomal RNA
Source: RNAcentral